This is a long non-coding RNA of Dalotia coriaria, 595 nucleotides long. RefSeq lists it as uncharacterized. The transcript is spliced from 2 exons. The record is from RefSeq and is a predicted model, not a curated record. NCBI's taxonomy places the organism in Eukaryota, Metazoa, Arthropoda, Insecta, Coleoptera, Staphylinidae.
GCGCGCUCGCGGAAGCGGCAACAUUUAUAAAUCCAAUUUCAAAGUCAGCUGUUGCUUCGGUUGCUUUGGCGGUGCGCGCCGUUUCCGCACCGCCGCCACAUUUGCAUUCAUAGUGAUGCGCGCCACUCGCCGCCACAUGUGCAUCACGCGCAUUGUUGACAAGGCCAUUCACAAUUGCGGUCUAAUUAUUUCGACACAGGGCGUGCGCCAACGCUAAACUACACAAUACUAACCUAACAAAUUUAAUUUCCGUAUAGUGUGCUGUGGAGGCGGCGAAGCGAUAGAUUCACGCUCGCUUCACCUAGUUUACUAAUAGCUAUCGGAAGCGUUAACAUAUUGUAACGUGAAGCAUGUCGGGGCAACGCAACGCGCGCAUAUAUAAUUGGAACAUCGAGUGCCGAUAAUGAUGGGCCUUCGACAUGUUACCGUACGCAUGUAUUGUCUCCGUAUCGAUGUUGGCAUUGAGAUGCGACGCGACGAGAUAACUCCGGAUAGAAACUUCACACAUAUCGAGACGACACUUCUAUAAAUUUUUUUCUUUCACUUAAAAACUAGUAUAUUUUAGUUCAGUGGGAAAAUAUAAACAUUUUGUGAA